RNAcentral lists this long non-coding RNA (2029 nucleotides) under Gadus morhua (Atlantic cod). RNAcentral's name for it is "lncRNA (ENSGMOG00000022994.1)". Lineage: Eukaryota; Metazoa; Chordata; Actinopteri; Gadiformes; Gadidae. The record is from RNAcentral.
AUAUAAAUAGGACAAUAUCAGGAACGGGAACACAACAGCGAGAAUGCUGGAAUAAUAUAUCAAAUGUCCUGCUGGACCUGCAUGUGUGUGAGGGGGUCAGUGUUUGCAAGGGUGUGUUUGCGGUCGUGCGUGAACGCAUGUGUGUGUGUGAAUGCAUGUGUGCGUGCGUGUGUGUGCAAUGCACGCACACACACACACACACACACACACACACACACACAUGCACGCAAGGACACAUGCAUGUGUCCUUCGUGCAUGUGUGUGUGAGUGUGUGAUUAUUUGAUUACCUUUAUUUGAACAGGUAAUCAAAUAAUGUCAUGUCAUCAAGAACUAAUUCUUAACAUCCUGAAUUGUAAUUCUUCACAACGGUGUGGCAAACCGCGCAGCCUGUGGAGGGAGGGGCGGGGGCUGAUGAGGAAGGCCCAGAGUUAGGAGACAGAAGCGCAACAUUUCCAUACGAUCCCAAUCGGCGUGGCUCUGAUAGCACACAGUCCAGCCCACAGGCGGCGUGCAGUACGCUAGCAGACAGCAGCAGCACAACAGCAGAUACAUGACAAGACAGACAUGUUCCCGCAUGCAUGCACGGACCCACAGUCAAACACCAACGUGCAUUUGAUAGACAGGCGCACGAUGAUGCGUGACCGUGGGCGUGCUUUGCUGUGCACGGGCAUUGUGUCCGUCCAUGCAUGAGGGUUGAAUGUGUGUCGGAUUUUUGUGUUUUCUUUUGCGUGUGUUUGUCCACACCAGCGUGCGUUUCUGCGUGUGUGUUUGCGUGCGUGGGUGCAUGUGUGCGUGUGUGCAUGUAUGUCGGUUUUUUCUGUUUCUUUAGCAUGUGUUUGUACGCACCAGCAUGUGCGUGCGUGUGUGCAUGUGUGCAUGUGUGUGUGCGUGUGUGUGCGGGGCGUGUGUAACACGUCUCCUCCCUGGAGCUGCAGGAGCGGCAGCACGCGGCCCUCCAGGUCGCCGCGCUGCAGGCCCAGAGGGAGCACGGCGAGCUGGAGCAGCAGCGGCAGGCGGAGGAGCUGCGGGCGCGGGGCCAGGAGGUGCUGCAGCAGGAGGUCAGCCGACUGACGCAGGAGCACCAGCAGAGCCUGCUGACCGCCCAGAGCCAGAGCACACAGGCUCUGCUCCAGAAGGAGGGGGAGAAGGCGGUGCUGGUGGAGCGGCUCCAGGGGCUCCAGCAGGACCUGGUCUCCGCCGGCCUGGACCUGCAGCGCACCAGGAGAGAGGCCCAGAGCCGGCUGGAGCAAGACAAGGACUCCCUGGCGCUGCUGCAUGGGGAGCUGCAGCAGCUACAGACGCGCCUCCAGGAGUCUCAGAGCAGCCAGGAGAACCAGAAGCUCACCCUGACGGAGCAGGUCAGAGAGCUGGGCCAGCAGAGGGGCCAGCUCCACCAGGAGGUGCAGGUGGUCCGCCGGGCGCUGCAGCAGGCGGAGGAGCAGCGGGAGGCGGGGCGCGGCGAGCUGCAGGAGGCCCGCCGCCUGCACCAGGAGGCCCUCCAGGAGGCCCGCCGCCUGCACCAGGAGGCCCUCCAGGACCGGGACCAGCAGCGCCAGGAGGCCCAGGACACCAGGAGGCUCCUGGGGGACCAGAGGGAGGAGAGGGAGGCCCUCCACGCCUCCAACCAGGAGCUGAGGGCCGCCGUGAAGAGGGCCGAGAGCGACAACAGCAGUCUGCGGCGUGCGGGGGAGGAGACGGAGCAGACUGUGUGUGUGCUGGAGGAGGGCAGGAGGUCUCUUCAGGAGGAGGCCUCCACCCUGCGCUCCACCCUGAGGCAGCUGGAGAAGGCCCGCAUGCAGUGCCGCCGCGAGCUGCAGGAGCUGCGCCGGCAGGUGAAGGUCCUGGAGGCGGAGGGCCGGCAGCAGAAGGAGGAGCUGCAGGAGGUGCACAGCCGGCUGUCCCAGGAGGAGCAGAAGGAGGAGGAGGCGCGGCGGGAGGCGUUCACUCUGAAGCAGAGGGUGGUGGAGUGCGAAGCGGGAAGAGAGGCGGCCCUGAAGGAGUGCGCUGGCUUCCAGCGGCGUGUCGGUGA